UCAGACUACCAUACCUGGAGAAACAACUCAGUAUACUACAUCAGUCGGUCCAAGUUCAACACCUGGACAAACAACUAAACCAGGCACAACACAAGGUCAGACUACCACAACUGGACAAACAAGCAAACCCGGUACAACAGAAGGUCAGACUACCAUACCUGGACAAACAACUCAGUAUACUACAUCAGUCA
Molecule: long non-coding RNA, 191 nt
Organism: Erpetoichthys calabaricus (reedfish)
Lineage: Eukaryota; Metazoa; Chordata; Cladistia; Polypteriformes; Polypteridae
Exons: 2
Source: RefSeq, a predicted model, not a curated record